Molecule: ribosomal RNA, 322 nt
Filed under: uncultured eukaryote
Lineage: Eukaryota
Description: partial 18S ribosomal RNA
Rfam family: Eukaryotic small subunit ribosomal RNA
Source: RNAcentral
CCCUUAGAUGUCCUGGGCCGCACGCGCGCUACACUGACAUGUUCAACAAGUUUCUCCUAGUUCGACAGGACUGGGAAAUCUUUGAACGCAUGUCGUGAUAGGGAUAGAUCAUUGCAAUUAUUGAUCUUGAACGGGGAAUUCCUAGUAAACGCGAGUCAUCAGCUCGCAUUGAUUACGUCCCUGCCCUUUGUACACACCGCCCGUCGCACCUACCGAUUGAAUGUUUCGGUGAAGAUUCCGGAUAGGACUGAUUUGAUUUAUUUCAUUUCUGACCUAAAAGCUAUCUAAACCUCAACAUUUAGAGGAAGGUGAAGUCGUAACA